This 197-nucleotide ribosomal RNA is filed under the name uncultured spirochete bSP1. RNAcentral describes it as "partial 16S ribosomal RNA". It matches the Rfam family "Bacterial small subunit ribosomal RNA", at positions 336 to 525 of the family's 1533-position model. The record is from RNAcentral. Lineage: Bacteria; Pseudomonadati; Spirochaetota; Spirochaetia; Spirochaetales.
CUCCUACGGGAGGCAGCAGGUAAGAAUCUUCCGCAAUGGGGGGAACCCUGACGGAGCGACGCCGCGUGAGCGAAGAAGGCGGAAACGUUGUAAAGCUCUUUUCUUGAGGAGGAAUAACCUGGGGAGGCAAUGCCCUGGGGAUGACGCUAAUCGAGGAAUAAGCCCCGGCUAAUUACGUGCCAGCAGCCGCGGUAAUA